CCUACGGGAGGCAGCAGUAAGGAAUAUUGGUCAAUGGGGGCAACCCUGAACCAGCCAUGCCGCGUGCAGGAUGAAGGCCCUAUGGGUCGUAAACUGCUUUUAUACCGGAGAAAACCCCCGUACGUGUACGGGGUUGAUAGUAUGGUAAGAAUAAGCAUCGGCUAACUUCGUGCCAGCAGCCGCGGUAAGACGAAGGAUGCAAGCGUUAUCCGGAUUCAUUGGGUUUAAAGGGUGCGUAGGCGGACCUGUAAGUCAGUGGUGAAAUCUCUUUGCUUAACAAAGAAACUGCCAUUGAUACUGCAAGUCUAGAGUAUAGAUGACGUUGGCGGAAUAUGACAUGUAGUGGUGAAAUACUUAGAUAUGUCAUAGAACACCGAUUGCGAAGGCAGCUAACGAAACUAUAACUGACGCUGAGGCACGAAAGUGCGGGGAUCAAACAGGAUUAGAUACCCUGGUAGUCCGCACCGUAAACGAUGAUUACUCGUUGUUGGCAAUAUGACCGUCAGCGACCAAGCGAAAGCGAUAAGUAAUCCACCUGGGGAGUACGCCGGCAACGGUGAAACGUCAAAGGAAUUGACGG
This 580-nucleotide ribosomal RNA is filed under the name uncultured bacterium. RNAcentral's name for it is "bacterial SSU rRNA". It matches the Rfam family "Bacterial small subunit ribosomal RNA", at positions 338 to 916 of the family's 1533-position model. The record is from RNAcentral.